ACGGGGUGCAGCAGGCGCGAAUUCUUUACAAUGCAGGCAACUGCGAUAAGGGGACACCGAGUGCCCAGUGAAUUUCAUUGGCUGUCUUAAUGUUUAAAAACGCAUUCAAUAGCAAGGGGCUGGGCAAGACCGGUGCCAGCCGCCGCGGUAAUACCGGCAGCCCGAGUGGUAACCACUAUUAUUGGGUUAAAGGGUCCGUAGCCGGGCCAAUCAGUCUUCUGGGAAAUCUGGCAGCUCAACUGUCAGGCGACUAGGGGAUACUGUUGGCCUUGGGACCGGAAGAGGUAAGAGGUACUUUAGGGGUAGGAGUGAAAUCUUGUAAUCCUUAAGGGACCACCAGUGGCGAAGGCGUCUUACCAGAACGGGUCCGACGGUGAGGGACGAAAGCUAGGGGCGCAAACCGGAUUAGAUACCCGGGUAGUCCUAGCCGUAAACGAUGUUCGCUAUGUGUCAGGGACGGCGUGACCGUUCCUGGUGCCGAAGGGAAGCUGUGAAGCGAACCACCUGGAAGUACGCCGCAAGGC
Molecule: ribosomal RNA, 524 nt
Filed under: uncultured archaeon
Lineage: Archaea
Description: bacterial SSU rRNA
Rfam family: Archaeal small subunit ribosomal RNA
Source: RNAcentral